CAGGCCUCCCUCUGCUUGGUUCCAGUCGUGGGCAUGAGUGAGGGGCGAUGCUUGAUGGCUUUGAUGCCAUCGGUGGGAAUGUGUUUAAGCAUCGGCCUUCCCUCAUGACCACGAUGGUCUACAGUCUUGUGUACGAGUUAGUGACGUCGCUUGUUUGUUUUGAUGCUUGCGUUGGAACUUGCUUAAGCAACCGACCUGACGAAGUACCCAUGAAUGUCUCCCAUGAUGGUCUACAGUCUUGCGUACGAGUUAGUGACGUCGCUUGUUUGUUUUGAUGCUUGCGUUGGAACUUGCUUAAGCAACCGACCUGACGAAGUACCCAUGAAUGUCACCAAUGAUGGUCUACAGUCUAGCGUACGAGUUAGUGACGUCGCUUGUUUGUUUUGAUGCUUGCAUUGGAACUUGCUUAAGCAACCGAACUGACGAAGUACCCAUGAAUGUCGCCCAUGAUGGUCUACAGUCUUGGGUAUGAGUCAGUGACGAUGCUUGUUUGUUUUGAUGCUUGCGUUUGAACUUGCUUAAGCAACCGACCUGACGAAGUACCCAUGAAUGUCGCCCAUGAUGGUCUACAGUCUUGGGUAUGAGUCAGUGACGAUGCUUGUUUGUUUUGAUGCUUGUGUUGGAACUUGCUUAAGCAACCGACCUGACGAAGUACCCAUGAAUGUCUCCCAUGAUGGUCUACAGUCUUGCGUACGAUUCAUUGACGUCGCUCGUUUGUUUUGAUGCUUGCGUUGGAACUUGCUUAAGCAACUACCUGACGAAGUACCAUGAAUGUUUGAGAGCCGGAAGGCAAGGGGGUGCAAACACUAAUUGAACUUUGUCCCGAUUGCCGAGUGUUAUGUGCUUGAUGUCCAAGGCUUGAUGCUGAUCCUCCAUGUGGGGGUUGUCCCUGCACCAAUGGCUUUUGCCAGGAUCAUGGCGUUUGUUAUGAUCGAAAAACUGAGGGGGUGAUGUUUAGAGCUGGAAGGCAAGGGGGUGCAAACACCAGUCGGCCUUUGUCCCGAUUGCUGAGUGUUAUGUGCUUGAUGUCCAAGGCUUGAAGCUGACCCUCCAAGUGGGGGCUUUUUUGUUCUUGCGGUAACGACUCUGUUGGGAUCAUUGUGAUCAAGUUUGGUUGGUUUCGUAUUGUGGUGGGUUUUUUCGAAGCUUCUAUCGUUCUUUUACGCAUCGUGCGGUGCAUCUUGGGGGCUGUUUUGGCUUUUGGUUGCUUGCUUGGGCUUUAUGCUAGGCGGGUGGCUAAU
Molecule: unclassified non-coding RNA, 1241 nt
Filed under: Espeletia grandiflora
Lineage: Eukaryota; Viridiplantae; Streptophyta; Magnoliopsida; Asterales; Asteraceae
Description: partial external transcribed spacer
Source: RNAcentral